AACGCACAUUGCGCCCGCCAGCAUUCUGGCGGGCAUGCCUGUUCGAGCGUCAUUUCAACCAUCAAGCCCCCCGGGCUUGUGUUGGGGACCUGCGGCUGCUCCGCAGGCCCUGAAAUACAGUGGCGGGCUCGCUAGUCACACCGAGCGUAGUAGACAUUUUAUCUCGCUCAGGGCGUGCUGCGGGUUCCGGCCGUUAAACCCCCGCCUUCUAACCCAAGGUUGACCUCGGAUCAGGUAGGAAGACCCGCUGAACUUAA
This 257-nucleotide unclassified non-coding RNA is filed under the name uncultured Sordariales. Its description in RNAcentral is "sequence contains 5.8S rRNA gene, ITS2, 28S rRNA gene". The record is from RNAcentral. Lineage: Eukaryota; Fungi; Ascomycota; Sordariomycetes; Sordariales.